Molecule: ribosomal RNA, 773 nt
Filed under: uncultured Streptococcus sp.
Lineage: Bacteria; Bacillati; Bacillota; Bacilli; Lactobacillales; Streptococcaceae
Description: bacterial SSU rRNA
Rfam family: Bacterial small subunit ribosomal RNA
Source: RNAcentral
GACGAACGCUGGCGGCGUGCCUAAUACAUGCAAGUAGAACGCACAGGAUGCACCGUAGUUUACUACACCGUAUUCUGUGAGUUGCGAACGGGUGAGUAACGCGUAGGUAACCUGCCUGGUAGCGGGGGAUAACUAUUGGAAACGAUAGCUAAUACCGCAUAAGAACAUUUACUGCAUGGUAGAUGUUUAAAAGGUGCAAAUGCAUCACCACCAGAUGGACCUGCGUUGUAUUAGCUAGUAGGUGAGGUAACGGCUCACCUAGGCGACGAUACAUAGCCGACCUGAGAGGGUGAUCGGCCACACUGGGACUGAGACACGGCCCAGACUCCUACGGGAGGCAGCAGUAGGGAAUCUUCGGCAAUGGGGGGAACCCUGACCGAGCAACGCCGCGUGAGUGAAGAAGGUUUUCGGAUCGUAAAGCUCUGUUGUUAAGGAAGAACGAGUGUGAGAAUGGAAAGUUCAUACUGUGACGGUACUUAACCAGAAAGGGACGGCUAACUACGUGCCAGCAGCCGCGGUAAUACGUAGGUCCCGAGCGUUGUCCGGAUUUAUUGGGCGUAAAGCGAGCGCAGGCGGUUAGAUAAGUCUGAAGUUAAAGGCAGUGGCUCAACCAUUGUAGGCUUUGGAAACUGUUUAACUUGAGUGCAGAAGGGGAGAGUGGAAUUCCAUGUGUAGCGGUGAAAUGCGUAGAUAUAUGGAGGAACACCGGUGGCGAAAGCGGCUCUCUGGUCUGUAACUGACGCUGAGGCUCGAAAGCGUGGGGAGCGAACAGG